AAAAAAAAAAACCCUGAUUUCUGUGGCUGACGUCUGACCGUCCGUCUUAUUUUAAAAAUAUAUAAAAAAAAAUUAAAAAGACAAGUCACGUACAAAGUAUUAAUCAUAUUUUAUCAUCUAACAAUAAUAAAAAUACGAAUUAUAAAAAAAUUUUAUAUAAAACGGACAAUCAAAGUUGGACACGGAAACACAUGGUUUAUCUUUUU
This is a non-coding RNA of Oryza barthii, 206 nucleotides long. Lineage: Eukaryota; Viridiplantae; Streptophyta; Magnoliopsida; Poales; Poaceae. The record is from Rfam.